This 4529-nucleotide long non-coding RNA is filed under the name Polistes dominula (European paper wasp). RNAcentral describes it as "uncharacterized LOC107072640". Lineage: Eukaryota; Metazoa; Arthropoda; Insecta; Hymenoptera; Vespidae. The record is from RNAcentral.
GGUUAUAUUUUUUUUGUGUAAUAUAGAAGUAAUGAGUUUUAUUUUUUUUCUAAAAGGAUGUUGAAACGCUCAGUAAAUGGAACUCUGCUCUGGGUAAAUGAUUAAAAAUUACGAGUUUCAUUUGCGAAUUACAUUUUAAUCCAGAAGAUGUGAUUAAAAGUAAUCAAGAGGUUCUAAAAGAUGGCAGUAUAUAUGUCUGUGAAUACGAGAAAUUUCAUUUGAAGAAGAAUGCUAUACCAAAAUCUAAUGCUACUAACAAUGCUAAUUAAUAUCAGAUGUUUUUACCUUUGCAGAUUAUCUCUUAAACUUCUCGAUAUAACUGAGUUGAAAACGUUUGAGGUUUCUAAAAAUUUCCUUAAACUUUUAUUGAAUUCUACGUUUCUCAAAAUAUUUGUUUUCAGAGUUGUCAAUAGCAACAAGACUUCCCGCGUAAGUAUUUAAACGAGUACUUCUUGAAAAGUAGCGCGCCCUACCGGCAAAAUAUCUGUCCCCUAAAUUGAUGCCGUUCUUUCAACAUUACGUUCGGACUCCUUGUAUCUACACUUCGUGAUUCACUUAUUGCCACGGAUCUAGGCUCCGUGUUUAUUGCGUUGCAGCCAUAACCUGAUUUUCAUUUGUCUAUUCUAAUACUAAAUCUUAAAAUGCUGAAAACAAAUUCUCAAGUCUCAAAGGAGAAUACAGCUCGAAGUAAAGAUAUGAAAGUUAAACUGAAAACUGAAAUGGAACAUAUUCUGCAUAUUCUAAAAGCAUUAAAAAAAUGUAGCAGUCUAUCAUUGAAAUGAUUAAUCUCAAUCUAUAAGUACUUUUGUGAUACGUGAAUUGCGAAGAGAAGAGAAAUUCCGAUGUUUAAUUACUAAUUUUGUGAAUUAAUGAAAAUAGCCAAUGAAAAACAAAGUAAACUAUUGACAUAUGUAAUAUCACAUCUAUUAUCAUUGAAUGCAUCUCCAUUUCAAAUAGAUGUGAUAAAAUAUUUGUCAUUAAAUUAAUAAUAGAUAUCUACAAUCGCUUCACUAACAAUGAUGACAUUUAUAAUGCAACUAGAAAAGCUGCGCUGCAAUUAAUGGUACAACUGUAAAUACAUUUCUUAAAAUAUCACUGUUCAAGUCACUUCCUUUGAGCAUUGAAGUCGUUCAUUAAUAUCUUACUUUAUUCAAAUAUGUCAAAAUUUUAAUCAUCAAUGAAAGAAUGGAUAUGAUUUUGAUAUGAGAUUUUCAACAAUUUCCAUCAGUCAUGGCUAUUCCAAUCUACAAGCGAGUUAAACAGACUAUGGUUGGACCAUUUCUGUGGCAAGGAUUUAAAUUUUACCUACCGAAUCGAGCGAUGAGGCAAGCGAAGCAAACAUUUGCAACAAUUCUUAACUUUUACUACAUAAAAAAGCUUCUAAAGGUUGUUGUUUUUUUUAUUUACACAUCUAUAUACCUGUAAAUUCAACUGUUUGUAUUUUAGGUAAUGACGUUCUCACCUGUCGCAUCAAUAGGAAUAGUCUUCGAUUCUUCUUGGGAGAAUAUUUUUCUUUUUUAUAAGUCUUUUCUGUCUAUAAGUUUAAAUAAUUCUUGCUACAUUUAUUAAUUUUUAAUUAUAUACAAGAAAGGGAAUGAAAAUUGUCAGAAAAAAUUUGUCGGUUCUCUCCUGGUUCAUAGUCGUCUAAUAAUACGCUAUCUUCUAAUUUUUUAAAUCAUUUUCUACACAUUUUUCUUUUCUCACAAAUUUAUCGCCUGCAAGUUAACGUGCCAGUUUAUUAUUGGAUAUUGCAGUAAUUAAAUUAUCUCAUAUCGUUCAAUUAAAAAUUGCAUUUAAUAUCCUUAUAUUUUGUUACUAAAAAUAUUGAUAGUAUAUCAGAAGAUAAAAAUAGAACUUAUAAAGAAUUAAUAUACAGUAAAAUGGCAAGAUUGAGAUUCAAAAAUACAGCUGUUUACUUUUAAGGUUUUCUAGUUGCAAAUAAUCUAAUUGCUUCAGAAUCCGUAACUUUAAUUUCACAUAAAGCUAUAUUAAUGGUUAAAGAAAUUUUCAAUAGAACAUUGGAAAUUUUUGUGGAAAUCAUUACUGUUAGUGGUGAAGAACACAUAAAAAUGAAACGUGUAGGGAAAAGAUUUUUGAAAACGUCAAAGGUGACGUCUCAUCUGACGAUUAUGAAUCAAAAGAAAAACGAUAAAAGAAGAAUAAACAGUUAGGAUUAUAAAAUUCAAGUCGUUAAUAUCUAAAGAGCACAUCGUUAAAGAAGCUUUUAUCAAAAUGGAAAAAGGAAAUAAAAAAAGAGGUGAUAUACUAAAUAAGUAUAAAACUAUUAAUUCUUAGAUUUACAAUCGUUUUGUUGAGGCUAAGGAAAAUUAUCAACAAGUAAUGAUCAAGAAUUUUUAGCAGCUUCAAGCCAAUUCUCGGAUGUUAAUUACAAAGCUACGAAAAGUUCGGUGACAAAAUUUAAAACAAAUAUGGAAUUAGUCAACGAAAGAUUACGAAAAUUGUUUCCAUUAUGACCUUGAAUAAGUUUUCGCUGUUUUUUACAAAAUAAAAACUUUAUUUAAAAUAUAAGGAACAAAGAUGUUUUAUUAAAAGUAUUGUCCAUCACUAGAGACCAUUUUCUCCCAUCUUUCUGGCAGUAUAUGAGUUCUAAGUUGGAAAAACGACAUGUCUUUUGAGGCUAUCCAAGAAUUGACCCAUUUUUUAGCUUCUUCGUAAGAAUGAAAACGCUGGUCAGCUAAGCCAUGUGCCAUUGAACGGAAUAGGUGAAAAUCGGAAGGGGCUAUAUCAGAUGAAUACGGCGAGUGGGGUAGAACUUCCCAUCGAAGCGUUUCCAGGUUAGAUACAGUACUUCCUUGCAAGUGCGUUACCAUUCGAAAUUUCACGCACGGAGUACUGCUAUUGCCAUCUUUGAUGAAACAGCGAGAACUUAUUCCAGGCCAUAAUAUAAAGGAAGCAGCAACCUUACAAAAACAAAUUCAUUCAAAUUCAUACCAAAUUUUCUUAAAGACUAUGUUAUUAAUACUGUUCUAAAAGGGUGCCACUAUCAAUUUAGCCAGAAUUAUAACUCUUGCUAAAAAAGAAAAAUCUUGUUUCUGUUAGAAGGCAUGAUUAUUAAUAGAAUGACGCAUUCUUAUACUGCGCAAUAUGCCAUUACUUUUCUGAGAAAAUUUUACCAAAAGUAUUAAUAUGUCUGCAAGAAGCCACUGGUCACUUUGGACCUAAAUUCCAGAAAAAGCAAUAAAUUAUUAUGUUAAAAAAUAUACAAAUAUCGUUGUAAAUUCAUCAAAGUCUGAAAAAUUUAUGACAGAAUUAUACACUAUAUUUCUGAAAGAUUGCUUAAAAUCUUACGUAGAAAAGAACAGUUCCUUUUCAUCAUAGACUCUUGGGGAAGACACAACGCCCGACCCACAUAACAUAAAAACUUUCUAAGAAAUUUCUAAAACAUUUCUUGGAAAGCUUUAAGUCUUUCAAAACGAUUUCUAAAAAAUAUUUCUACAAGGUGGAAAAGUCCGGGUUUAGAAACUUGGGAAGGAUUUCUAAAAAGGUCUUUGAAAGAUUUUAUAAUAUCUUAUUACCAUAUUUUGCGAAAGGUUUCUAGAAAAUAUUUUUGAAUUUUUUCAAAAAAGACAAUUGAGAGCUUUCCCUGCCAAGGCUCACCGACCAAUCCUUUUCACGAUUGCCCGAAUUUUUUUUUUUCGUGGCGUUGUAAGACUGUGGAACAUAUUACGAAAACAGACCCUCCACUCAAAUGAGCCCCCUGUGUGGGAUUCGUGAAGAAAAUUUGACCGCUGGACUGACUGGGGGACCAGCGGGAUUCGAACCACGGAUCUUUUGCUUUCCGGGCGCGACUGCUCUUUAACUAAUUGAGCUAUCCAGGGCUACUGAUAAAUACUUCUUACGAAUGCUUCAUAAGUUUGGCAUGGAGGCGCUCGUCCCACAGAAGGUUUUUGGAAGAUUUUCUGAAACUUUAUCGUCAUGUUUUGUUAAGGCCGGCGAUACAAGUAAAAUAAAAAAAAAUCGAAUUUUUUUUUUUUAUAAAUAGUUAGUUUCAUGUCUCAAAAACAUGCCCGUAAAUUUUUUGAAUGAAAUUCGCAUUAUUUAUCGAUUAAAAAUUCAUUUAAGGGCUCCGCCUCAACUCGGCGCUAGACGCGAACGCUAAACUUUGAACGCGUUUUUCUCAAAACGACUUUUUUCAAACUGACGUGCAAGAUAACUCAAAAAGUUCUUAACCGAUUCUUAUGAACUUUAGCACACAUUUUCUUUAUAGUAUUAGCUUCUAGUUAAAUUUUAAGAAUGCCACCAAAAUUUUCCAAAAUUGCCAUUUUUGACCCAAAAAUCGUUAAAAAAAGGGUCAAAAAUCGGACUUUUCUGUCUUAGUCGUGCCAAUUUACGAUUUUUUGACUUUUUUGUUUUUUUCCUAAUUCAACUAAAAGAUACAUGUUUUAUGAAAACGCUCCGACUCUUUUUCUUUAUUCCAAAUUGCUGUAACUGAAGCUAAAAAUCACGCUGAUUGAUGCCUUUUGUCGCGAGGGCCUCAGGAGAUUGGUUACUACAUCGGCCAUUUUGAA